GACGAACACUGGCGGCGUGCCUAAUACAUGCAAGUCGAACGCGUCUUGGUUAUUGAUGUUAAGUGCUUGCAUUUAACUGAUUUAACAUUGAGACGAGUGGCGAACUGGUGAGUAACACGUGGGUAACCUGCCCUUGAAGUAGGGGAUAACACUUGGAAACAGGUGCUAAUACCGUAUAACAACCAAAACCACCUGGUUUUGGUUUAAAAGAUGGCUUCGGCUAUCACUUUAGGAUGGACCCGCGGCGUAUUAGCUUGUUGGUAAGGUAACGGCCUACCAAGGCAAUGAUACGUAGCCGACCUGAGAGGGUAAUCGGCCACAUUGGGACUGAGACACGGCCCAAACUCCUACGGGAGGCAGCAGUAGGGAAUCUUCCACAAUGGACGAAAGUCUGAUGGAGCAACGCCGCGUGAGUGAUGAAGGGUUUCGGCUCGUAAAACUCUGUUGUUGGAGAAGAACAGGUGUGAGAGUAACU
RNAcentral lists this ribosomal RNA (475 nucleotides) under Lactobacillus sp. oral taxon 424. RNAcentral describes it as "bacterial SSU rRNA". It matches the Rfam family "Bacterial small subunit ribosomal RNA", at positions 28 to 466 of the family's 1533-position model. Lineage: Bacteria; Bacillati; Bacillota; Bacilli; Lactobacillales; Lactobacillaceae. The record is from RNAcentral.